Molecule: ribosomal RNA, 591 nt
Filed under: Purpureocillium lilacinum
Lineage: Eukaryota; Fungi; Ascomycota; Sordariomycetes; Hypocreales; Ophiocordycipitaceae
Description: eukaryotic LSU rRNA
Rfam family: 5.8S ribosomal RNA (bases 244-397)
Source: RNAcentral
GGAAGUAAAAGUCGUAACAAGGUCUCCGUUGGUGAACCAGCGGAGGGAUCAUUACCGAGUUAUACAACUCCCAAACCCACUGUGAACCUUACCUCAGUUGCCUCGGCGGGAACGCCCCGGCCGCCUGCCCCCGCGCCGGCGCCGGACCCAGGCGCCCGCCGCAGGGACCCCAAACUCUCUUGCAUUACGCCCAGCGGGCGGAAUUUCUUCUCUGAGUUGCACAAGCAAAAACAAAUGAAUCAAAACUUUCAACAACGGAUCUCUUGGUUCUGGCAUCGAUGAAGAACGCAGCGAAAUGCGAUAAGUAAUGUGAAUUGCAGAAUUCAGUGAAUCAUCGAAUCUUUGAACGCACAUUGCGCCCGCCAGCAUUCUGGCGGGCAUGCCUGUUCGAGCGUCAUUUCAACCCUCGAGCCCCCCCGGGGGCCUCGGUGUUGGGGGACGGCACACCAGCCGCCCCCGAAAUGCAGUGGCGACCCCGCCGCAGCCUCCCCUGCGUAGUAGCACACACCUCGCACCGGAGCGCGGAGGCGGUCACGCCGUAAAACGCCCAACUUUCUUAGAGUUGACCUCGGAUCAGGUAGGAAUACCCGC